CCGAAUGAGCCCGGGAGUUCCCCCAAACACUUCAGUAGAAAACUAUUUGAUAAAAAAUUGUAUCUCCAAUGAAGUGCUCAGAGGAACUCUAGAAAACAUCCGACCAACACGACGAUUGUUUGAAUAUAUAGAUAUUACAUUAUCAAUAUAUUGUAGAUACAUUUUGGCGAAUCGGUUUAUAAGAGUGUUAGGGUUUGAAAAAGAAUGGAGGGACUGGCGUUUUAUAUAUACAAUUGGAAGCAUUGUGAACUUAGACGUGAAUUCAGGUUAAGGGCUUUAGGUGAGGGAAUCAAAUUUUUUAAGAAAAGUGCAUAAAUUCUUUUUCCUUUCAGCUUUUUGCAAGAUAAGAAAGACGUUUCUAUAAACGCAUAGAUGCCAAUGAAUGUACACUCAUAUACAUGUAAAUGAACAUAUGAUUUUG
This 421-nucleotide non-coding RNA is filed under the name Arabidopsis thaliana (thale cress). The record is from RNAcentral. Lineage: Eukaryota; Viridiplantae; Streptophyta; Magnoliopsida; Brassicales; Brassicaceae.